This is a long non-coding RNA of Hemicordylus capensis (graceful crag lizard), 6130 nucleotides long. RefSeq lists it as uncharacterized. The transcript has 3 exons. The record is from RefSeq and is a predicted model, not a curated record. NCBI's taxonomy places the organism in Eukaryota, Metazoa, Chordata, Lepidosauria, Squamata, Cordylidae.
GGGGCUUCCACGGAGAACAAAGGCCUCUGUGAAGCCUGAACUCCAGUAGGGCCCAAGCCAGCCAGGAAGGAGGAGGCAGCCAGAGAGGCCUCCACUGUUCUCUGCAGCAGAAGACCCCCUGCUGCCAGGUAUACCUGCUCUCCACUUGAAUAAAAAGCUGCUGUUUAUUGAAGAAAUGAUUUUUGUUGUAUUGAUAAGAAUCCAAUUUGCACUGACGGAUACUUUGGAGGCAGAAGCUGUCAAUGAAGAAAUUGAAUCAGAAAAAGUCUCAUUGCCACUCCUCCUUUAACUGAGUUUGAUGUUGGAUGCAAGAAAUAAUUCCAUCUCCUUUCUUCAGUGAUUUGGAGACAUUUUUGGAGACAAGAGUAAAAAAUGAAGCGACCUAGAAGUACAUGAUGGUUUUAAAAUACAGGAAGGCUGCCCUUCUCAGAAAUCAAGGCUUCCUGCAGCACCCAUAUGCUGCCUCCCACUCUUUCUCCCCCUUGGAUAUCAAGCAUACCAUCCGCUCCAGCUGAUUUCAUGACAACCCUCCCAAGUCAACACUUUCUGGACAAGCAAAACAUGCUCUGCUCAGGGUUCUUCUAUGUGCUUCUCUUAGUGUUUGACUUUCAAAAUAAUUGGUGGUUUUGCUUGAAAAAAAUUGUUUAAAUAUUGUCCCUGUUCCUGAUUUUUCUCCAACUGUUUCCCCCCCUCUGCUUCUUUAUUCCUUCUUUCCCCCCAUUCUGCAUUCUCUUCCUUUACUGCCAGUCACCUCUUCUGCACAAUCUGUUCCUCUUCUGCCCUUACCCUUUUUGUCUCAUCAUCAACAGCAGCAGAAAAGAAACAGUUAAAUGGAACUCACGGCACACACAUCCCCAAGCAUGCCAGAGUGCCUCUGGCAAACUCCACCUUAUUUUUUUCAGGAGUAACAUAUCUCCAUGAAGGCAUAUACAUAACCGAUAAUUAAUGUAUUGCUGGUCUUAGAAAGAAAAUCAAGUUUUAUAAUUUUAAAAAACCCACCUCCUAUAUAUUGUUUUUCUAGUGACUUUAAGAAUUAAAAUGUGAAAACACAAUUUGGUUUGAGAAUGAAAGUAAUCCUCGGCAGAGCUGCAAUUGUUAUGGGCCUGUGUCAGCAUUUCCAGCAUGAUUCGAGCCCCCCACCCCACCCGGAUUUAUGACUCAUCUGCUUUAAUCCGCAGUGGACCCAAGUUUAACAUUAACAGUCUUGGUCCUGAUCCUAUUAUUAAUACAAAAUUCUAUUUAACACUGUUUGGGUAUUUAAAAAGAGAAUAGGAGAUGUGCUUUAAAAAAAUCAAUUUAAUGUCCUCUUUUUUUUUUUAUGCCUCAACCUUAAGAUUCUCCCAUUCUCCACUUUUUACUGCCAUGAAAAGAUACAGGCCAUUAGUUCGUAAUCUAAAUUAGGCCGAUGUGUGAGAAUAAAUAUCUCUGAAUGGGGGCAAGAUUUUAAAACAUAUGUGGCAUGUGCCAAUGAAGAGCGGGUUCCAUAUCUCCCACACCAGCCCUACCCAAAACAACUGAAUAGGUAUUUCUUUCUACUGCUGAGUAUUGCAGUCUAGGAGGUUUUACUAAGUGUUAUGCAACCAAGGAUGAACCCUUACUUUGUGUGUGUGGUUUUUUUUUGUGUUUGUUUUUAAAGUAGAGAGAUUUAUUUUUUGGAAGAUCCUGAGGUCAGCAGUCAACCCUUUAACAGUUUGGGGGUGGAUUUGUUUAUUUAUUUAUAUAUUUAUUGCAAAUUCAGUGUGCUACAUGAUACAAGUAAUACAUAGUACAUUGACUAUCCUCACUAAUCACUGAACAGCUCAGCACUGUUUAAAAGCUGUACUUAAUAAACAAAACAAUACCAAUCUAUAGGAAACAUUUACAAUGGAAUACAUUGUCAUUGUAGGAACUGUAAUAUUUUCAGUCAGUGUAAGGUUAUUUUCCUCAUAUUCUCUUUCUUCUGCAAAGCUAUUAAAAAAAUCCAACAAAGCCAUUGCAAAAUAUAUUCCAUAUAUAUUUCAUAUCACCACUAAGGAGAAUAUAAACGAAUCAUGGAAGACCCUGUGAACAUUAUAUUUUGCAGUCUUUUAAAUCAAUCAUGUGGCUUUUUAACUGUUUUCAAAUAAAUGGCUGAGAUGCAAAAUAGCUGCAAUAUCAAGGUUUUAAAAGCAUCCACUGUGCAUGCCUAAUAACAUUGCACAAGGAAUUUUUUCUACACAUUCUGCAGUACAGUCCCAGGAUAUGCAAAUCCUGUACAUUGCUAUUAAUAUGCAUUCACAAUUUCACAAGUUAAACCAUAUACAGCAACAAUAAUGAUACGAAAUAAUAAUAAAAUGCAUUCGUUAUGAUCAAUAUAUAGUACACACAUAUUUCAGAAUCUGUCACACAAAAAUAGCUAUGUGCUUUUAAUGUAAUUGUUCUAGAUGCAAUGGGUAGCAUCGAAGCAGACUCAAUUCCUCCUAAUAUAUUUACCUGUAAGUAAUUGUCACUGAAAUCAAUGAAAUGAAAUCAAUGACUUUUUUUGAAAGUAUAUAUGCCACCAAUUUUGCCCUCCAGCUUUCUCCAAAGCUGUAUUUUUUUCAUAGUUAAGGUUCCAGACCUGUGUUUGCAAUGGAAACAGGGGUUUGGAAGACCUCCUUGGUAAGCAAGGGAAGGAUUAAGCACUCUUCUCUCACCUGCUGCUUCCCCGCUAGACAAUACACUCUCCCACUUCUACUUCACAAAGUUGAUUUUCACAGAGACAUGUUGGAGGAUGAAUGUAUAUUCUGGUGUCAGUACAGUGUUGUUAUUAUUCUAUGACUAACAGAAACACAGAACUCCAUACUAUGUGAAAGUCCAGAUUCAGGAUUCUUAGAAGUCAUGGAAUUACUCUCAUUCAGCUUUUUAACAUGCUGUGACACAAACUUCACUCUUCUUUAUAACCAACCUUUUGGUUCUCUGUUCUGUAUUAAUAGAGAUUAGCAUAUGCAAUAGUUAUUCCAUAUCCAGAUUUUAAAGUCACCAUUUCAAAUCAUGCCAUUUAUAGUGAGAUGGUGGCCACGCUGCUCAGAUUUCAGAAAGAGCUUCUGGAGAACUCCACUUCAUGAUAUUCUGAGAAUUUCUGAAAUAUUAAUUUUAAAAUGUCUACUUUCCAGUAGGUAUAUUCAAAGAAAAAAAAUAGUUUCAUUGCAUUUUUGUUCUCAUUUUUUAAAAUUUUGAUUUAUUUUGUUAUUAUUUCAUUUUAAAUUGUUUCAUUUCAUUAUUCAGUUCUUUCAUUUUCAUUUUCCCAUUCAUUUUUGUUUACUAUUGAUUUCAUUUAGAAGUUCAAUCAGUCUUCUAGUCCAUUUAGCUUUGGUAUUUUCCAUGCAAACUGCAUGAUUCUUUCAAACAGUCUACUAAUCCUUCAAGAUAAUAAUAAUAAUAAUAAUAAUAAUAAUAAUAAUAAUAAUAAUUCAAUUUCUAUACCGCCCUUCCAAAAAUGGCUCAGGGCGGUUUACAAAGAGAAAUAACAAAUAAGAUGGCUCCCUGUCCCCAAAGGGCUCACAUUCUAAAAAGAAACAUAAGACACACACCAGCAACAGUCACUGGAAGUACUGUGCUGGGGGUGGAUAGGGCCAGUUACUCUCCCCCUGCUAAAUAAAGAGAAUCACCACGGUAAAAGGUGCCUCUUUGCCCAGUUAGCAAGAUAUAAGUCUUGCCAAAUUUCAGAGUAAUUGGUUAAUGGGUCCCUGGUUUAGAGACAAUUUUACAAGGCACACAUACUCUUAUUUAUUGUAGACAUUUAUAUUCUGCCUUUCUAUUGCAAAGCUCAGUUCCCAAGGCAGCCCACAAGUUAAAACAAAAUAAAUAUAAAACCAAACCAAGCAAACAAACAAAUCUUAAUAAAAUCAAUAAAACACAGCAAUAAAAAUAGUAUCAAACAGGCAGUUGGACAGCUACAGAUUAAGAGCCUUUCAGAAUAAAAAAUGUCUUUGCUGAGCACAGUGCGCAGUGCAAAGCCAGCAAUGAAGGGAUCAAAUAAGAUUCUCCUGGGAGGGAGUUCCAAAAUCUCUUCCAUUGGAAUGAUCACUUUUAGUGGAAGAGUCAGCAGUUCUUAAGCCUAACUCUUCUGUUUUCUGUUCUGUUGGUAUGAUUUUUUUUAAAUGUCACCGAAAGAACCCUCUCAAUAGCAAUAGCAAUAGCACUUACAUUUAUAUACCGCUCUAUAGCUGGAAGCUCUCUAAGCGGUUUACAAUGAUUUAGCAUAUUGCCCCCAACAUUCUGGGUACUCAUUUUACCGACCUCGGAAGGAUGGAAGGCUGAGUCAACCUUGAGCCCCUGGUCAAGAUCGAACUUGCAACCUUCUGGUUACAGGGCGGCAGUUUUACCACUGCGCAACCAGGGGUAGACCAGACUUGCCAAAACAGAUAGACUAAAGACUUCCCACUUCAUAGGUGACUAAAAGGUACACAGAUAUAAUGUCACUGUUAUAGAAUGUCAUGCUUUGGUUGUGUGCCAGGACAGGCUGCAGUUUGGAUGGUCCUGUUCAGGUGUAGGCAGGUGAGGGGUAUUUGAGAGUCUAGGUUACCCAAUGGACCAGGGUUGCAUACAAGGUGAGAGAGUCAAGCAGAGGACUGGAGACAGAAGAUGUAGACAGAGUUGGGCUGGGGUUGAGUACUGAGUGAGACAACCAAAUAGAAGGCCAGGGUUGGGGCAGCGUGAAAGAGUCUUGUGUCCCUACUCCUGUGUGUUGCUCAGACUGCCAGCCUGGCUUAGAGACAAAGGUUUUCUAGGGCCUAUAGGUCACAUGACAUGCCCUUGCUCCAUAAAGAUUUAAUUGGUCUAACUUGCUGAACGAAACAUUUACAGUAUCACAAGAUAUCUGCAAAGCGUGCUUCCAUACUUCCUGUGUUGUGACACUGCAGUCCCUAUGCUGUCAGCAGGGUGCCGUGCUGUUCACAUUUCGGAUGCCUUGUUUCAGAUUUUAUCGUUGCGAUUUAGUGCUAUAACGUUGUAUGUCCAUUGCAAAAAAAUAGCUGUAUUUUCCAUUGUAGAUUCUGGGGGUCGUUUUCAAUUUGAUCCUGCAAGCCGAAGCAUUUUACCAUGGUCGUAGUGGCUAGUCUGGAAAGUGCCCUGGUCAGAUCUCAUUUGAAAUAACCAGUUCAGUCAGGACUGCAAGGUUUGCCUAGAAGAGUAUAAUAUUAGAAAACACAUACUGAGGCUCUAUACAUGAUCUGUGUGUAGAGCCUAACCGGGCUCUGUGGGGAAAACGGACUUAGUCCACUCUCCCUGCAGAUGAGCAGGGAGCUCAUCCUGUGUGGCUGGAUUGGCCACCCAGAUGAUUACUGGGUAUGUCACGGAACUGGUAGGGGUGGUGGGGAUUGGGGGCCGCCCAGCCCCUGGAAGUCCCAGGAUGCCCCGUGCAAGUGCACGGAGCAUUCUGGGGAGACCCCCCUGAGGCUGGGAGCCUCCCAGUCGGGGGUCUUGCUUCAUUCUCCCAGUCGGGGGUCUCCUCACGAGUUGCCACGAUCCAGAGCUGCACCAUGGUGACUCACCAUCAGAACAGGGUUAGUGGAGCGAUCGCUCUUAUUACAGCAUAUGACCAGGAGAAACCGAGCUAGGAGCCCGGUUUCUCCUGGUCAUGAGAAUAGCCUCACUGAGACGAGUCCCCUGCUAAAUGAGCAAAGAGGAGCAAAAAGUGUUGAUUCUCUUUAUUGGGGGGGGGGCAACUGGCCCUCUCCAACCCCAGCACAGCAUCCCUCCAGUGGCUGUUGCUGGUGUCUAGCUUAUGUUUCUUUUUCUUUUUUAAAAAAAGAUUGUGAGCCCUUUGGGGACAGGAAGUCACCAAUAUUUAUGUAUUUAUAUCUAUGUAAACUGCUAUGGGAACUUUUGUUGAAAAGCCAUAUAUAAAUAAAAUGAUAGAAGCAAAAACCAAAAUCACAUAGAAGAAAUGAUGGUUAACCUCUGCUCUUUUAAAAUAGCAACCUCCUUUCCUGCCUUCCUUUAGGCACAGCUCUUCCUUUAAAACAAAUGAGAGAGGAGGAGGUUUUGAGCAGGAAAGUACUGCCUCUUCUCAAGUUCAUUUUAGGGAAAGGAUUCAUGGCCUGGUUUGAAGGUACAAUGUUCAAUAUAUGUUUCAACAUAAACUGUAUUACUAGAAUGAUUAAAAACAAGGUGUUCUAGUAAGAACUAA